CACACCGACUCUCUUCAGCAAUUGGAAAAAAAGAGGAGGGGCCCUCUGAAACAGAAAAGAAAUAUGGCAAUACUUUCGUUUUUGUCGUCGUUAGAAGCAGAUAUUUCUGUACCCUCGCUCUUGUCCACCGUGACCGUCGUCUCGGCCACUGCCACAACCUUGUUCUUAAUCUGCAAGUCUCGCUCUCGCCAAUCUAAAAGCAAUUCAACUGGCAAGAUUCUAUUUGUUUCCCAAAUCGGAACCUCAAAAGCCCUAGCUUCGUGCCUCUGCAAUUUGUUCGAGUCGUUCGGCGCCGUUACGGAGCUCGUAGAUGCCAGGGAUUACGUGCCCGAAGCCCUACCCAAGGAGAACCUUGUCGUCCUCGUUGCUUCAACUUCGGAAGUUUGGAACCAAUUGCUCGGACAAGAUUUCAUCUUAACUGACAACCGUUCUCGCGGAGCACGGAUGUUCGCCCGUUCGAUCGUCAAGUACGCGAAGGGCUGUAAGUUUGGAUCGUUAGUUGUGAAUGCUAACGGUUUCAGUGCGUUUGUCGCCGGCAAAGGGGCUUCUGAAGAUGACACGAAUUUGAUGGCUAAGGCUGCCAAUCAAAUUAGGGAUUUGGGGGACACUGUUAAAUUGAACGCGGAUUUUGAGAGCUGGUGGGGAAGUGUUGUUGGGGUUUUGCAAGGUGCUGUUUCGGGAGGUGCUGCUGAUGCCAUGUGCGGGGAAUCUGAUCCUAAGGAUGUUGGUUCUUCUGAUUCAAAGCUAUCCAUGACGCAGAGCUUAUACCUGUUUGUGGAAAAUACAGAUCUUGAUUUAGAGUAUGUUGGGACAACAACCAUCACGCGCAGGAUGUUAACUAUAACUGAGGCCAACUUUAUUAAGAAUGGCACUGUUGAUCUUGAAGAUGGAGGUCAUGUAACUGCCGAAUGGCCUGUUAGAGAUGGUCUAUUGGUCGAUUAUCCAUUACCAGAUGGUCAAGGAUUUUGUUCUGUCGGUCACAGCUUCUUCUUUGCUGGUGGUAACCUGUGUGUUGUUGACCCAAAAUUGUGUUUGGAUUUGCAUGAUUAUUACCCCUCAAGGAUGUGUUGCCUCAAGUAUGAGGGUUCUAAUUGGAGUUGGAAGUUUUGUGGAAGCAUGUUCUGCGACCGAUUUAGACCCUUAGUAGUCCCCUAUGAUGGCAAGUUGUACAUCUUUGGGGGUGGUGGAGAUGCAAAUUGCUGGGUUGAUAUUUACUGCCUAAAAUCAGGUCUAUGGGAAACAAGGGAAAGGAAAGUGCCCGAAAGUGCUCUCUUUUCAUAUUGCAUGGGCCAUUACACUUACUUUCUGUGGGAGGACAGCACCAAGCCUCACAAGAAGACGCACAUUGUAUUGUAUGCUCGUCGUGGUGAACAUCAAGGUCUUUUGUCAUAUGACGUCAAGGCUAACAAUUGGGAAUACCUUGAUUGGAAUUUUCCGCCAGUUCCUAGAUUAUGUCCAAGGAGACUUGUUCGUUUGGGAUGCAGUCACUAUCUUCUGAUUGUUGACUUUGCUCCAAUGUGGCAUAUUUAUGAUUUAUCUAAGAUGAAGGUUGUGGAAACGGUGGAGGUGCAUGGUUUGGACAAGACCGCAGAAAUAAUGAAUAUUUUUUGUUGCCACAACACUAGCGAUGAAAGUUUGAUUUAUAUGUUCAUGAAACCUGAAAAUGCUUUCGAGGGAGAGCCAUCUACUAGCUAUGAUUCUGGGGUUGUUUCUUAUGCCAGAGUCAAGCUCGAACUCAAAACUUUCUCUGCCAAGAUUGAAUCCAAGGGUAAUCUUAACGUUGGUAAUUUGGUAAAACUUUAUAUGUUUGCUGUUGGAGAUGAAGACCAAUAAUUGUUUAACAACAGCAGUAUAAGAUCUCGAAUCUGUGAAGCAUUACUGUUCCUGCACAAGAAUUUGAUGACAAAAUAAAAGUUAUGUUGACAAGUGAAGUGUUAAUUGGAGCCAAGUGUCAAGCAAUUUCCGAUAAGCAAGUAGAGUGCAAAAGCAACUCUCAUAACUAUGAAUGCAACCAGGAAUGCAUAGACAAACAUGGUUUCAAGGCCUAUGGAGAUUGCUAUAAUAAUUCCCUUUGUGUAUGCACCUUCAAUUGUCCCUCUAAUAAUUAUUAGUUUGUAGAAUUUUCAUAUACCACUACAUAUUAUUAGAAUAAUUUUGUAAUAAAAACGAGAGUGGUUAAAAACUCUGAAAGUAGCACUAUACAUGAAGGUUAUAGGAUGACGCUAAUAACUUCUACAUAAAGGUUAGCAUACUAUAUAUACAUGUGU
Molecule: RNA transcript, 2267 nt
Organism: Arachis stenosperma
Lineage: Eukaryota; Viridiplantae; Streptophyta; Magnoliopsida; Fabales; Fabaceae
Exons: 5
Source: RefSeq, a predicted model, not a curated record